CUAGCCGCCUCUCUCUUCCUCCCCCUAGCCGUCUCUCUCUUCCCCCGCCCCUCACGCCGCCACCCUGCCUCCUCUCCGGCCGUGGCUGUCACCCCCCCUGCCCCCUCGCUCGUCCUCUUGCAUCUCCCGGAGGGGGCGCCGCCACCGGUAGCACCGCUGCUCCUCCGUCGAGCUCGAGCGUCCCCAUUGCCAGGAGGAGCGGAGGUUGCCACUCCCGUAACUGCUCGGCCCUCUCUCCCUCGUAGCGGCUCAUCGGGGCGGCGGUCUGCAGGCUAGAGCCUGAGCUCCUUGGGCAGCUGCUGAACUGUCGAACCAUGUGUUUUUAUCACCUAAACUUCUGCGAGCCGUAGUUUCUCACUGCCCAUUUGUUCUGUGUAUUCCUCUGAUAUAUGUAGCUGUGCAAUUUUUGUAAUAAUUCUUUGAAGAGGAAUGCUUGCUUUGGUUAAGACUGACAUAUGAGGUUCCCUGAGUUGUACUUAUCCUCCAUCGUGUGUUCAUCACCGCCUCCAGCCGUGCUUCGAGUACGCGGCGUCCUUUGGCGGCGAGGAGGCCCGAGGCGAGGCGGCGCCUGCCGCCAGUCCCCAACCCCGUGCCUCUAGCCCCUUCUUCGCGCACGCGAUGAAACGGUCGCUGAUGUGGGAGAGGCCUUCAGUGACGAGGAGGCCCAGGGCGACACAGCCUGCAGUGGCGCUGGUGCUCCCAGUGCAACCACUCUAACGACGGCUAGAUCCAUUGUUCUUGUCGUCGUUGGGCUGGAUUGGUUGUCGCGCUCAUCGACCUAUGGGAGCUCCUUUUGGUCGACCCCCUCGUCUGUUCAUUGUUGGAUCUGUGGCAGCCUUCAUGUCUUCGUCCAGGGACUUACAGGAGUGCACUUUGGCUGGAUCCUACUAGGGAUGAAUUGUUUAACUUGCUGACAUGCAUCCGGAGAGAAUAUUGAUGGCUAGGGUUGAUUGUGCAACAAAGAUGGCAAAAAAAAUCAGGUACUUCUGAAUGUCGGUGGACCAGAUAGGGUUUCAAAAUUACAGAUGGCUGAGUCUGUUGCUGAAGUUCGUGGAUACAACAAGUCGAUAAUCAAAUCUGUGCCUGCAGCAUCGGUUAAUCAGGGUGUAGCUUCACCGUCAGACAUAUCCAUGGAUAUCACCAAAGCUAACUGAAAAGCUCGGUAUCCAGCCGCUUACAUUCCUGGUUGGAGUCAGAGCUAUACACUUGACGCAGAAGCCAGUACAUGAUAUUUAUAAAUUGUUUGUUCAAGUUCCUCCACAAAAUAUCGAAGUGUGACUAAGCGCAUGAAGAUUAUGCCUUCUUCAAUGCCAUAUUAUGCUGACAAUUUUGAGGAACAAGCUGUAGAAGAGAGUAUCUGCUCAUAAUAGAGAUCCGCCUCCCCGUGACGAGGAGUUCAUUAUUUAAGUAGUUGUGCAUGCCAUUUUCAGACCAGGAGCAGCUGCAGGCUGUCACAGAACCAGUUCUAUCAUUUGUUCUGCAAUGAAGUAGGCACACUCCACAAUCUCAGUUCCUACUCUUUGUUAUGCGCUGAGAGGAGGGAAGAAGGACAAUGCGGUCGCAGCCCUAUCCGCACCCUUCCAACCUGAUUCACCCGCAGCACGCCAUGCAGGUGGCACUUUUGCUUGUGUCUUGUUAUCUUUUCGAAAUGGUGAAGCUGACAAUGAUAGCUUGUAUCACUGAUGGCCUACAAUUGACGGAGUGCUUAGAUGGUGGUUAUGUGAAGGAUGUUGUCUUCUACAAGCAGCAAGCAAAAUUGUUGUUCAAAAACAUAUCUAAAGGCCAACAUGAACCAUCAAGACUGUCAACUGAGACUGGACCAUACCGUUUCCAGGUCAGGGUAUGUAUUUACAGUACAUCAUACAUUUUUUGCUUUCAGCAAGAUGAGGAUAAUGUGACUGUUUGUGUGCGUGUGUGCUAUAUGAUACAUUUUCGCUUUCGUCAAGAUGAGGAUACUGUGACUAUUUGUGUGCGUGCGUGCGUGCUAUAUGAUACAUUUUUUGGCCAUAAUCAAGAUGAGGAUACUUGACUGUUUGUGUGGGUGCUUUAGUGGUUCUAGGUUAUUGUAGUAGUAUAACUUGGCUUCGUUUACACAAAAUCCAAAUAGAAUUUAGUUUGGAGCUGGUCAAGACAUGGUGUAGUAUUUAUAACCUAUUAAUUUGGUUGGACUGGUCAAGUGUUCUAUCAAUUCUUGCUGCAGUAUUUAUUCUGUAGUAUGUACUAGCUCUUAGACAAGAUAAUUGUUUAGCCCCUGAUUUCUUAGCUACUGGUUGGUCCUGUAAGGCUACAUCCUUGCUUUCUGAUUAGUGUUAUUUGAAUCUAUAGCAGUGGAUAUGCAUAGAAGAUCCGCUAAUUCGGGUUUUUUGCCUUUAUUUAUCGUGUGAUGGCCGUUGUCGGAGCUUUGCCGCCUUCAUCUCGACUCCGUCGAGGUUCCAGGUUCAUGCUUCACCGCUCUCCCCAUCGGUGAUUUGCGGCGGCUGCGGGGUCUUCCCCUGCUUUGGUGGUGGCUGGCAGGCGUUCGCCCGGCCAGAUCUGGCGCGGAGCAGGACCUGUGAUGCAUGGCCUGGUUUACGAGGGCAGGGGACACAUGGGUCCCCUUGGUCCGGCAGCAUCGGCAGGACGCUGUGUGCCCGUCUGCUUUCUUGCUAGAUACGUGUUUGGGAAAAAUCUACAAUACUCCUUCGAGGUUUACACAUCAAUUGCAAAGGGUUUUCGGAAUGCAUCACUAUAUUGAUUUUGGUUUAUACAUGAAUUGCAGAGAGUUUUAGAAAAGUAUCAUAUUGUUUUGGGUUUAUAUACGAAUUGUAAAAUGUUUUAAGCAUGUGAAAAUCAGAGCUCAUGCGGCAGGUGAUUUUUUUUCUUGCUUCUAAUGCUACGAUGAUGUUAUGUAUACUAAAAAGGACUCGUGCACACUUGCUUUGCUCCCUACUGUUUAUGAUCAGUUGCCAAACAUUAUAAUAGGAUAUAACAUUGCUUCAAAACUAAGUAUGUUCCUUGGUGAUGGUGUAUUUAUUAUGAAAAUAAAUAGGACUGCUUACCCAUGGUGAUGUGGUAUUGCUACUCGAGUACUUACCCUAUUUCUGUGACAAAGGCCUGUGAUAGAUAUGGUUAGACACAUAUUGAGCGUCCAAUUUCAUAAAUAUUGAGCAUACAGUUUCAACUUAAACUUAAACAUGAGAUUGUCUUGUUGUCGAGUUGUGUUCAGUUCUUUCCAUGUAGAACUUACUAGAAAUUCUUGCAUACAUCCUAAACAAAUAAAGAACUGUAUGCAUUUAAAUUAAGCAGUUCCGAAGAAAGAAUUAUUUCAAGUUAUUUUGUUUGGAGAUGAGUUUCCUUUUCUACACUUUUGUGUGAAGGAUGGAGCCUCCACAAUGCCUAUGAGCCAUGCUUUUUCCCACCCAGUAAAAUGGUCUAUUUUCAAGUGGCAUCAUACGGCGAAGGAGGGGAUCUGAAUCAAGAGCCGUAAUGGUGCUUGUGAUGGUAUGUCUAGCACUUGCGCGACCCUGGAGUCUGGCUUCUUCUUGCAAGUAAGAUCCUUUUGCUCUUCUAUGCCCCCCACCUCUCUUGUGAGGAUCUCUGGUUGUAUUUGGGUAACCAGACCCCAAGAGAUGUAAUCCUAUUUGGAUAUGAACCUUGUGUGCUAGCUUGAUUUAGUUUAUAGGAGUAGAUUUUAUAGAUGAACUGUGUACGCUAGCUUGAUGGUGAUACAUGCCAUAUCUCUAGAUUGACUCCAUGGGGUAUCCAUUAAUGUCUGAGGUUUCGCAAGGAAAUGAGUUUCUUGCAUUCUCAUGUUGAAAAGAAUUGAAGAAACCUAGCAGAAUAUGGUGCCAAAGUUUUUAGUUCUUAUUGGGUUCGUCCAACUAUCAAGGUUGACCAUACUAUUGUGAGAAUCUCGGCUAUGAAUCAUUCUUUAUAUCAUGUUGGAUUAUCUUGGAAUUCGUAGAGCCAUUUACCGUCGAAGGAUGUACUCACAGAACACAAUCAGUGUGAUUAUGCUUUACUACACUUCUGUCCAGAGUAAUGGGAUAUGUAUUCUGUACUGUACAGCUACCCUCUAAUGCACUACCCAUCAGCCUUCAAUCUCUAUAUGUACAAAUGACUUUCUAAUUAUUAUGAAUGACAUGUGGAGUGUGCUGCUUUCUA
Molecule: non-coding RNA, 4143 nt
Organism: Triticum urartu
Lineage: Eukaryota; Viridiplantae; Streptophyta; Magnoliopsida; Poales; Poaceae
Source: RefSeq, a predicted model, not a curated record